RNAcentral lists this ribosomal RNA (169 nucleotides) under Cociella sp. KAUM:I:57091. RNAcentral describes it as "partial 12S rRNA". Lineage: Eukaryota; Metazoa; Chordata; Actinopteri; Perciformes; Platycephalidae. The record is from RNAcentral.
CACCGCGGUUAUACGGGAGGCCCAAGUUGAUAGUUGCCGGCGUAAAGUGUGGACCGGGUAAGAAAAAACUAAAGUCGAACGUCUUCUCACGCUGUGAUACGCAUCUGAAGAUGGGAAGCACAACUACGAAAGUGACUUUAACAAACCUGCACCCACGAAAGCUAAGAAA